This 490-nucleotide ribosomal RNA is filed under the name uncultured bacterium. RNAcentral describes it as "partial 16S ribosomal RNA". It matches the Rfam family "Bacterial small subunit ribosomal RNA", at positions 30 to 507 of the family's 1533-position model. The record is from RNAcentral.
AUUGAACGCUGGCGGCAUGCCUUACACAUGCAAGUCGAACGGCAGCAUGAUCUAGCUUGCUAGAUUGAUUGCGAGUGUCGCACGGGUGAGUAAUACAUCGGAACUUGCCCUGUUGUUGGUGAUAACUAGUCGAAAGAUUAGCUAAUACCGCAUACGACCUGAGGGUGUAAGUGGGUGACCGCAUGGCCUCAUUCUAUUUUAGCUGCCGAUGUCUGAUUAGCUAGUUGGUGUGGUAAAGGCUCACCAAGGCUACGAUCAGUAGAUGGUCUGAGAGGACGAUAAGACAAACUGGAACUGAGACACGGAAAAGAGAACUACGGGAGGCAGCAGUGGGGAAUAUUGGACAAUGGGCGGAAGCAUGAUACAGCAAAGCCGAGUGUGAGAAGAAGGACUUAGGGUUGUAAAGAAAUUUUGUGAGGAAAGAAAAGGAGGAGGUUAAAACAUGGGGAGGAUGACGGUAACGGAAGAAUAAGGAACGGCUAACUACGUG